Molecule: RNA transcript, 2189 nt
Organism: Malania oleifera
Lineage: Eukaryota; Viridiplantae; Streptophyta; Magnoliopsida; Santalales; Ximeniaceae
Gene name: pentatricopeptide repeat-containing protein At3g53170
Exons: 4
Source: RefSeq, a predicted model, not a curated record
UCCAAUUCAAACGUACGUAUUCUCCGCCACCGGCGCAAUGGAGCUCCAAGGGGCUAAUAUGCGCCUCUCGUCGUCUAGAUCGGACCACUAGAGUCUGAGAUGCAUUCUUCUGUGCCUUCCGACUUCAAUCGGCGCCGGUGAAUGGAGCCUCAGCUUGUUGACGCUGCUAAACUGCGGCUGUCAUCCUCCUUCUCCAUAACGCCCACUACCUGUUUGGUAAAAUUCCCCACUGAACCACCAGACGCACCCAAGCCCAUUUUUCUGUCGGUGAAAGCAGCAAAAUGGAGCCCCGAAACUUACCCAGAUGGGCUCCUGAAAAAGCCCGAGAAGAACCUCUCCGGGAUCCUCAGGACCGAGGCUGCCAUUAGCAACAUUGAGAGAAAAGCUAAUUCAAACAAGUACAAUAGUCUGUGGCCCAAAGCUGUUUUGGAGGCUCUGGAUGAAGCAAUAAGAGGGAACGAGUGGGAGUCUGCUCUUAAGAUUUUUGGACUUCUUCGCAAGCAACGUUGGUAUGAGCCGAGAUGCCAAACCUACACAAAGCUCUUGAUGAUGCUAGGGAAGUGCAAGCAAGCUGAGCAAGCAAGCUUGCUUUUUGAGGUCAUGCGUUUUGAUGGGCUCAGUCCCACCCUUGAUGUUUACACUGCACUUUUAAGUGCUUAUGGCCUCAGUGGUUUCCUUGACAAAGCUUUUGGUGUCAUUGAUGAUAUGAAGUCAGUUUCUGACUGCAAACCUGAUGUAUAUACGUAUUCUGUCCUUAUUAACUGCUGUAUUAAAAACUAUCGCUGCGAUCUAAUUGAUCGCGUUCUUGCUGAUAUGGCCUAUGUGGGAGUUGAGUGCAGCACCAUAACAUACAAUACAAUAAUUGAUGGAUAUGGCAAGGCUGAAAUGUUUGAAUCGAUGGAGAGCUCAUUGAUGGAUAUGAUUGAGAGUGGUGCAUGCCUUCCAGAUGUUUUCACAUUAAAUUCAUUUAUAUGGGCUUAUGGGAAUAGUAGGCAGAUUGAGAAAAUGGAGAAGUGGUAUGAUGAAUUUCUGCGCAUGGGCAUUACACCAGACAUCAAAACAUUUAAUAUCCUUAUAAGAUCAUAUGGAAAAGUGAGAAUGUUUGAUAAAAUGGUUGCUGUUAUGGAGUUUAUGGAAAAAAGGUACCUCUCCCCAACGGUUGUUACUUUUAAUACAGUUAUUGAGAUGUUUGGAAAGGCUGGAAAAAUAGAGAAGAUGGAGAAAAUCUUCAAAAAAAUGAAGCAUGAAGGAAUGAAGCCCAACUCCAUAACAUACUGCUCUCUUGUCAGUGCUUACAGUAAAGAUGGUAAUUUAAAUAUGGUUGACUCAAUUUUGAGGCAAGUGGGGAAUUCUGAUGUUGUCCUGGAUACACCGUUUUUCAAUUCUGUCAUCAGCGCCUAUGGUCAAGCUGGUGACCUAGAACAAAUGAAUGAGGCAUUUUUGUCUAUGAAGGGGAGAAAAUGCAAGCCUGAUGAUAUUACCUUUGCCACCAUGAUCCAAGCCUACAAUGCCCGAGGCAUGGUUGAGGCUGCUCGAGAUUUGGAGAUUAUGAUGAACUUGCAAAAGGAAAAGUCAGGAACAAAGCGGAUUGGAUGCUAUUAAGAUUGAUUAGUCUGUAAAUGCAACAUUCGGAAAAUAUGGAAUUCUAAUCUCCAAUACAAUCAGACAGGGAAGAAUAAUUUCUCUGCAGCAGAAAUUUUGGGGAUGGGUGCAUUUAGAGCAGUUUAGCUGAAGUGGUAAGCCCUAGUUUGUGUUGAUGAACAUGUAAAAUGGUGAAAGGGAAGGUGUUUUUGGAGAGUGCAACUGUUGACAACAAUGGCACUUUCGUGAUUUUCUAUGGUUGGUGCUUGGUACUCACAUGAUCAUUUGUGGACCAAAAACUUUGUUGCUAGCAGGAGUACAUCCCAUGACAAUCUUUGCAAGGGUUGCCUCUUUCACAGUGAGAUUACCUCUGGAAAGGCUUUCAAUCUACAAGAGACACCCAAGUGACUUAAGGAUUUGACAGCAUUUCAAUCUUACGAGGUUACAAUCCUAAAUAGGACGAAAUGGUGGACAACGAUAUAGCUGACUUCACUUACGUCGUGUUUGGUUUGCGGAAUGAAACAAGAUAGGAAAAGAAAGGAAUGAAAAUUUGAAUGGUGAUCAGACAAAUUUAAGUAAUAAAUUCGAUUCGAUUCGAUUCCAUUUAA